RNAcentral lists this transfer RNA (78 nucleotides) under Armatimonadota bacterium. RNAcentral's name for it is "Armatimonadetes bacterium (freshwater metagenome) tRNA-Asp". It matches the Rfam family "tRNA". Rfam says of the family: Transfer RNA (tRNA) molecules are approximately 80 nucleotides in length. Their secondary structure includes four short double-helical elements and three loops (D, anti-codon, and T loops). The record is from RNAcentral. Lineage: Bacteria; Bacillati; Armatimonadota.
GGGCCCGUAGCUCAGUCGGUUCAGAGUGCCAGCCUGUCAAGCUGGAAGUCGCGGGUUCAAGUCCCGUCGGGCCCGCCA